CUCUGAGGUCAUGGAAUGAUAACGCCUGCAGCCGGAAGUUCCCUUUUGUCUGCAAGAUCCCACCUCUGAGCGUUAACUGAUGCACCGUUGGCCCCAGCAUCACCGAGUAGCUGUACCUACUAUAAAGCUGAAGCUGAAUAGAUGCAAAAUGCCACCAGAGGUAAAUCUUAACGAGAUUUCAAACAAACAAGCCUUAAUUAUUCAGGGUGGCCACUUGGCCAAGUGACAGAGACCCAAAUGGAACUAGCUCAAUAAACAAAAAGCGGUGGUGGAUGUACUGGUGCAAGCCGAGGGGUGGUUCUGGACUCAGGCUUGAAUCUCAUUGGCUGGGUGCAGCCUCCUGCCCGCCCCGAAGCCUCACUUGGCAAAGCUGAUUGGCUGGGCCCUGCUGAGACGCACAGAACAGGGCCGAGGGGGCGGAGUUGACCGCAUCCGAGGGGUUGAGUGGGG
Molecule: long non-coding RNA, 450 nt
Filed under: Marmota monax (woodchuck)
Lineage: Eukaryota; Metazoa; Chordata; Mammalia; Rodentia; Sciuridae
Source: RNAcentral